RNAcentral lists this ribosomal RNA (134 nucleotides) under uncultured bacterium. RNAcentral's name for it is "partial 16S rRNA". It matches the Rfam family "Bacterial small subunit ribosomal RNA", at positions 355 to 506 of the family's 1533-position model. The record is from RNAcentral.
UGGGGAAUAUUGCACAAUGGGCGAAAGCCUGAUGCAGCAACGCCGCGUGAGUGAUGAAGGCCUUCGGGUUGUAAAACUCUGUCUUCUGGGACGAUAAUGACGGUACCAGAGGAGGAAGCCACGGCUAACUACGU